CAUGAGAAUCCCUGAUCAGCAAGAAAGGCAAACAAGUGUGCACUGGUGAAGUAUGUAUUCUCGCCCGUUGCACCACUCAUUCUUGCAAGGCUGCACUGACCGAGUCGAGACAACGCACAUAUAUACACUUCCUCGUGCUCGUGUAGUACAAUACUCCAUCAUACUAGAUGUUAGAUCAAACUCAAAUUAGUGCCAAUCGCGCAUGCAGUGAUGAAAACAACUCCACCAAAUUUUAAUUGUGUGU
Molecule: long non-coding RNA, 244 nt
Filed under: Setaria viridis
Lineage: Eukaryota; Viridiplantae; Streptophyta; Magnoliopsida; Poales; Poaceae
Description: long non-coding RNA (SVIR_LNC003731)
Source: RNAcentral